UAUUACUUCUUUAAACUUCAUAAAAAAGGAAAAAGAAAAAAAAAAUAAACAGAUUGUUUUAUUUGGUUUAGCUUUACCUUUUCCCCACCUUUGUUUUAUUCCAUGUUUGUUAACUAUAUAUAAUAUUCCGUUUCUCUUAGCACAAAAUGACAAAAGCACAUUUGUUUUUUUUUCCUUCCCAUCAAACGAACAUAUUACUCCUCAUAUAGUAACAAUAAUGCUUUGUUUUAUCUCCUUUAUAAAUAUAUUUACUCUACUCUUUUUUUUAUUUUUUUUUUUUGAGCAUACUGUUUGUAUUUUUUCAAAAAAAAAAAAUAGCCUCUUUCCUCCUUUUCACGAAAUCCAACACAUCAGUAAAAACGAUGGUAAGUAUACAAAAUCAUUCUGUUUAAACUUUGAAAGGAAAAAAAUUAGUAGUAAUAACAAUAAUAAUAAAAAAAAAAAAAAUGCAUGUUAUUGUUAUAAUUAUUAUAUAAGAAAAAGCAUAUAUGAUGAUAACAAAAAAAAAAGAAAAAUAUAUAUUAGUAACAAACUUUUUGCAGAAAGUAAUUUCUUUAAUCCUAAAAGAUUUAAAAAUUUAUUUCCCGAUGCUAGUAUUACUAAAAGUGGUAAAAGAAAAAAUGAUGAUGAUGGUUGUCUCGAAUUAGAACAAGUUGAAAAUUUGAAAGAGAUAAAUCCGUAUUUAUAUAAACGACUUCUCGAGUAUUAUAAGUCAGAGAAGGGGGAGGGGGUAGAGGCAUUAUCGGCAUCGGUAUCGGUAUCAGAAGGAGAAGAAACAAAAGAAACUGCACAUACAAUAGAAUUAGAUGAAGCCAAAAAUGUGAAAGACCACACGGAUGAAACAAGCGAUAACAACAUGGAGAGUACUGACCAGCAAAACAUCCCGCUCUAUGAAGGGCUACCCCUUUUAAUGCUCGAUGGGAACCAAUUCCAAGGAUUUGCUGAUAGUAGAAAAAUUAAAAUAAACCCCAAAAUUGCAACUCCUUUCGAUAAUGAAGAAUAUAAGGAAUUUAAAAAAAAUAAUAAUAGUAAUAGUAAUAGUAAUAAUAAUCAUAACGACAGUGUUUCCAACGUUGGUAAUAGUGGCAGUAGCAGCAAUAGUGGAAAUAGUGGUAAGCUCAUGUUAAACGAUAAAACAUAUUAUACGAAGAACAAUAGUAAUCACGAAACAAACAUAAACAAUGUAAAUAACUUGUCGCAUAAACAAAAACAUUUAGAUGAAUUUGAGCAGGGGGUUAAUUAUAUGCUAAAUAACCCGGUCGGAAAUAUUUCAAGAAAUAAUAUAAAUAAAACCGAUUUGAAAAAAACAGAUAUGACAUCAAGUGAAACUAAACCAAAUACAAUAUCUGAACAGAAUACACAAACAAGUAAUGACAAUCUAAAAAAGUAUACUACUAGGCAGGAAAUGAUUAAUAAGUACAAAAGAGUUGGGAAACAUCAAUAUAUCGAGUCGAAACUAGGUGAAAUAUUAUUUGACAGGGACUACCCAGGAUAUAUUUAUUUAAAUCAUGGUGAAAAUUUAAAAGAGUUAGAUGAAAAAAGCGAACAUAAUUCACAAUUUCCUCAAUAUAUAAACCCGUCUAAUAUAUAUUUGCGAACUGGGCGUAAAAGAGAACAUCAUAAAAAAAAAGACAGUGGCAUUAAACAAAAAAAAAGGUGGUGUAGUAGCAAUAUGAGUGAUAAAAAGGAUAUAAAAAGAGGGAACUGGGAAUAUCAUGAUGAUACAGUUAAAGAUUUACUCGAUUCUAUAGAUCAAGAAAAAUUAGAAGAAAAUUACUACUCAAAUAAUUUUUAUCAAAGAACUAAUUAUAAUACAGGUUAUGGUAAUUUAGAAAAGGUUGAGAACAAUUAUUUUGAUGUACAAUUUAUGGGCUCUGUUGAAACAUAUCCUGCUAAUAUAUCUGUAGGUAUGAAUUUUAUUUGGCCUAUCAAUUUUAUUCCUUUAUUAUGUAAGCAAUAUACCAAAAGAUUAGGACAGCCAAUUAAAUCUCCAAUUUUUAACUUAGGUGGGUUUGAUUCUUUACAACUGUGGUUUUAUCCAGAUGGUAUGAAUAAUUCGAUUGAUGGUUAUUGUGCGUUGAAACUUGUUAUGAGACCUGGUUUGUUUUUACCUGUAAAAAUUUUUAUGUUCGCAUUCAGUGAAUAUAAUUAUAUUCAUACUAUACCUUUUUUUAAAGAUUCAAGUGAGUAUGUAAUAUCUUCAACCAACUUAUGUAAAUUAUUAUUAAAAACGAAGGAAAACCUUGCUAACAUAAAAAAUAAUAAUGAUUAUAUUAUAUUAGGCCCAGCAGGAAAUGUUUAUAUAGGGGUUGGUAUCUUUGAUGAUGUUUAUGAUUUUGAAACAGAUUUAAAACAGUUUUUUUCAUUAAGCGAUAAAUAUAAAAAGAAGGUUGACAACAAUAAUGUGAAAAACGGAGACAUUGAUAAGAACACUGACAGUAAUAAGCAAUUCAAAUACAAAUACGAUUGGGAUGAAGGAGUUCACAUAUUUGAUAACUGGCUAAAAAAACAAACAGCCAUAACAGAUGAUAAAGACGAAUUGUUACCUGUUGAUUAUACUCAUUCGGAGUUGUAUGAAAAUUAUAAAUACAAGUAUGUACCCGAAAAAAACCCUUUUAAGUUUUUAAAAAAAAAAAAAGAUCAAAAUUCAUGGAACAGGCACCCCUUUUAAGUCCGAAACAUAGGAGUGAUGGGACUGGGUGCAUACGUACGUACGUACGUACAUAAAUACAUACUUAUGCAUGUGUCGAGCCUUACAAUUAUG
This is a long non-coding RNA of Piliocolobus tephrosceles (Ugandan red Colobus), 2764 nucleotides long. The record is from Ensembl. NCBI's taxonomy places the organism in Eukaryota, Metazoa, Chordata, Mammalia, Primates, Cercopithecidae.